Molecule: ribosomal RNA, 305 nt
Filed under: uncultured bacterium
Lineage: Bacteria
Description: partial 16S ribosomal RNA
Rfam family: Bacterial small subunit ribosomal RNA
Source: RNAcentral
ACAGCAGUAGCCGCGGUAAAACAGAGGAUGCAAGCGUUAUCCGGAAUUAUUGGGCGUAAAGCGCGCGCAGGUGGUUUAAUAAGUCUGAUGUGAAAGCCCACGGCUCAACCGUGGAGGGUCAUUGGAAACUGUUAAACUUGAGUGCAGGAGAGAAAAGUGGAAUUCCUAGUGUAGCGGUGAAAUGCGUAGAGAUUAGGAGGAACACCAGUGGCGAAGGCGGCUUUUUGGCCUGUAACUGACACUGAGGCGCGAAAGCGUGGGGAGCAAACAGGAUUAGAUACCCCCGUAGUCCCUGUCUCUUAUAC